This 660-nucleotide ribosomal RNA is filed under the name uncultured bacterium. RNAcentral's name for it is "bacterial SSU rRNA". It matches the Rfam family "Bacterial small subunit ribosomal RNA", at positions 53 to 757 of the family's 1533-position model. The record is from RNAcentral.
ACAUGUAAGUCGAGCGGGCACUUUCGGGUGCUAGCGGCGGACGGGUGAGUAACGCGUGGGAACAUACCCUUUGGUACGGAAUAGCCUUGGGAAACUGAGAGUAAUACCGUAUGUGGUCGUAAGACGAAAGAUUUAUCGCCAAAGGAUUGGCCCGCGUUGGAUUAGGUAGUUGGUGGGGUAAUGGCCUACCAAGCCGACGAUCCAUAGCUGGUUUGAGAGGAUGAUCAGCCACACUGGGACUGAGACACGGCCCAAACUCCUACGGGAGGCAGCAGUGGGGAAUCUUAGACAAUGGGCGCAAGCCUGAUCUAGCCAUGCCGCGUGAUCGAUGAAGGCCUUAGGGUUGUAAAGAUCUUUCAGUGGGGAAGAUAAUGACGGUACCCACAGAAGAAGCCCCGGCUAACUCCGUGCCAGCAGCCGCGGUAAUACGGAGGGGGCUAGCGUUAUUCGGAAUUACUGGGCGUAAAGCGCACGUAGGCGGACUGACAAGUCAGAGGUGAAAUCCCAGGGCUCAACCUUGGAACUGCCUUUGAAACUGUUAGUCUUGAGGUCGUGAGAGGUGAGUGGAAUUCCGAGUGUAGAGGUGAAAUUCGUAGAUAUUCGGAGGAACACCAGUGGCGAAGGCGGCUCACUGGCACGAUACUGACGCUGAGGUGCGAA